This 132-nucleotide small nuclear RNA is filed under the name Canis lupus dingo (dingo). Its description in RNAcentral is "U1 spliceosomal RNA (ENSCAFG00020025859.1)". It matches the Rfam family "U1 spliceosomal RNA", at positions 1 to 120 of the family's 166-position model. Rfam says of the family: U1 is a small nuclear RNA (snRNA) component of the spliceosome (involved in pre-mRNA splicing). Its 5' end forms complementary base pairs with the 5' splice junction, thus defining the 5' donor site of an intron. The record is from RNAcentral. Lineage: Eukaryota; Metazoa; Chordata; Mammalia; Carnivora; Canidae.
AUACUUACCUGGCAGGGGAGAUACCAUGAUCACAAAGGUGGUUUUCCCAAAGCAAGGCUUAUCCAUUAUAUUCCCAAAUGUAGCGAUCCAAAGGGGCACCUACACCCCAAUGUUCAUAGCAGCAAGGCCCAC